UGCACAUCACCCACGCAGACGCGCGCACGUCAGCACCGAGGCAGAGGCGGCAACAGCAACUGAGCCAUACGGUGUGCACCCUCACGUUAACGCACGCACAAGCAUCCGGACUCACCAGAAGUACAGCCUUCCGUUCUUCUCUCACGCUCUCUCUUUCACUGUUCCCCACCCCCCCCCACCCCUCACUCCACCCAAACAUCCACGCAUCCCGUUCUCGUUUUGCUGUGCCGAAACAACGAUGCGCCCCGUGACGCGAUCGCCGCUCCUCGUCGCCACCGUCGUGGUGGCGGCCACGCUGUGCCUCAGCGGUGACAACGUUAUCUUGUCCUUGUCCUCUGGUGUGCGGCUGGCACGCGCGGAUGGCCCCAUCACGAAAGAGCAGUGCUUCAUCCUCAACCCGAAGCCGACCGUCACGUCCUGUAAUGCGUACCUGCCGCCUAUCGUUGAUUUGUACGGCAUGCUGCCCUACGACAAGACACCGGCCUACACGAACUGCGUAAAGGAGCGGUGUCUUUGCACGGGCGCCGCGACGAGUACGGCCAUCAAGACGAGCGGCCUCUUCUGCAACAGUUCUGGCUGGAUGGAGAGCGGCUACACGACGUGUAACGUGUUGGUCGACUGCUUCUCCAAGUUCUGGCGGUGCAUAAACAAGGCACUCUACACGCGUUACCUCGAAGACCGCGGGAACCUCGAUCCGACGGAAGUGGAUCUUAUGGCCGACAUGAUUUCCCACGGCAACCGCCCUGGUGAGACGUUCGACAUCACCGAUAUCUUCCGCUCGUGCCGUCUGAUGAUGUGCGCUGCCGCGAACUCGCGCCAGAACUGCGGCCUCGUCACGUGCCUGCCGAACUACACCCAGUGCGACGAGUACAUCCGCCCUCCGCCGCUGCCGUAUACGCAUCAACUGUGCACGCAGGGAUGCCGUGCCGUCCUGCUGAUGAUGGCGCUGACUAUCGCCGCUGUGUCUUUCUCUGUUUGCUGCUUCUGCUGCUGCCCGGCGCAGGUGCGCAUCAGCGAGCCCGUGAUGAAAGAGGCGCCGGCGCAUAGGCUCGAGUCGAACUCUAUGUGGAGCGAAGUGGAGGCCCAGGAUAGGCGGCAUCGGAUGGGUGAUUCGUGCACGCCGUAAGGCGUACCAACGAGAAUGGGAGACGCACAGGGAACGAAACACAGAAAGGGAAGCGGAGGAGAGAAGAGGAUCAGCAGCCCCAACGGCGGCGGCUGCAGGUGGCGCUACCACUGCAGGCUUUGGCAGGGAGAGAGCAAGCGAAAUGGUAGCAGCGGGUGCGAGCGAAAGGCGUGGACGGGGUUGUCGAUGUAGGCGACAGACGCAUCCCUGACGCGUAUAUCUGCUCCUCCCCUUCUCCCGCUCCCUCUCUCUCUCUCUCUGUGUGUGUCUGUGCCUGUGUGUGCACAUGUGUAUAUGUGUAUGUUGUACCCUCCCUUGCGUUUUGUGACGGUGUCUGGUGUCGGCGUUAUGCGUCGCCAUCUCCCUCAGCACACACAGAGGCCGGCAUACCAACACAGACGCACAAGCAUGGCGAGUGCGUCGCUGUCUCUUCCUCUGUUCGGUCCCUCUCUCGCUGUCCCCUGAUUCUCCCUGCUCGUCGUGUAUGCGUGCUUCUGUCUCUCUCCCCCUCCCACUCAUAGUGUGCCGUCCACGUCUCCCUUGAUGCCCACACGCACCCGCACACACGUCGUGAAGCGUUGUCUUGUCCUUCCCUCUCUCCCUGUCUUUUCACCCUUCUCGUGUGGUGCGUGCGUGUGUUUGUGUGUGUGUGUUUACAUCUUUUCUUUUUCCCAUUGAUGCUCUGUGUGUGCGCGCCUGUGUCUGUCGCGCUUGCUUUCUUGCUCGCUCUUUUCCUGUGAUUUAGAUGUCUGUUGCUUCGCCUCUGUUGGCGGACAGAGGGAGGAGAGGAUGGGGUUCUGGUAAUCAUGUGCACACCUCUCUCCCUCUCUCUACAUGCGUUCCCGUGCUUGACGACGGUGGCACUGGUGGGCUCUGUGUCUUCUUCUUUUGCGUUCGCGCGUUGCUGUGUGUGUGUGCGUUGUUCCUUUUUUGGCUUUCUGGGGGUGGGAGAGCGCUGUGCGCGUGCCGACAUGUCGUCUGUCGUCGUUUAUUGUUCGUCGUUGGUCGCGCGUCUCUCCCGUCCGUGAGCCGCACGGUAGAUUGCCAACGUCGGUUGAACACGCACGCACGCGUGCCGGCAAGCACGUGUGCGUGCGCGCUCACGUUUUUUGUUUUGGGGGAUCACAAACGAAAAAGGAGGAGGGCGUAGGCGAGCGAGAGAGGUGGUGACCAUGGCGACGUGCUGCCCUGGAGAAAAUGGGGAGAGGAAGCUCUCAGUAUGCGCAGACGUCCGCGCGCUCCCACCACCUCCUCCUCCCUCCUCGAACUCUGCAUCGCAACGUGGCUCCGCCUUGUCUCGGUCUGCGUGCGUGUGUUCGGGUGUGUCGGUCUAGGCGAUCGAGGAAUGGCCGCACACGGUGCGGCGCGUUUCGUGGAAGUCACGCGUCGUCCGACUUCGUACCCCGCUCUCGCUCGCUCGCCGUCUCACUCAUCGUCCUCGUCGUAAACAUUCGCCCUCGGGCUUUAUUUUCCAUCGCUUCAGCACACCAACACCACCACCAUAACCGAAUAGGGGUCUCGCUGUUCUUCUUCCUCGUGUGUCUGGCGUGCAGAGGGUGUGUCUCUGUCGGUCUGUUUGUGUGUGUGUGUGUGGUGGGAGGGGGGGGGGAGGUAUUCUGCCCGGCGCUUUCUCAGCCACCUCCCUGUCUCUUCUCUCGUUUUCUUGCGUUGUGUCUCUGUGCCGCGACGGCGGUUAGGGCCGUCACGGCAGUGGUGACAGCCAGGCUACCCCGCACCCUGCCCACCAGAACCCCUCCUCCGCCUUCUGUACGGCUGCAUCUCUCUGUAUGUCAAGCCCAGCCAUCCACUAAUCUGUCCCGCCGUGCCCGUUGUCGCCGUUGAUUCGUUGUGUCUCUCCAGGAAUGACGACAGUGUCCCCCCCCCCCACCCUCUCUCCCUCUCUCAUCCCUCCUGAGCCUCGCCCUCGCCCUCAAACCAUGUUAUCGCGUAUGCCGUGUCGAGUGGAAGCGGCAGGGAGGGGUUGGCGAGGCGCCGAUUGGCAAGCUGGAGGUGCCCAUCGGGUGUGCGAGAUAGCCUGCGACGCUGCCAGAACCAGGCACGAAAGUGUGGCAGAGGCGAAAGGUGACGCGACGACAUCGUAGAGCUGCACACGGCGAGCAGUCAAGGAGGUAGCCCCAGCUCCACAGAACGAAGUUCAGCACCCAUAUGCAGCGCGCGUCGCCACUUUAGACGCCUCCGCCGCCGCCCUGGGCAGCGGCCGAGCAACGUCCAUCGCCUGCACAUGAGUAGGAUGCGCUCAAGAGAGUUGUGUACACUCGCGUGGGUGCUUUAAUGCCGCAGUGUGAUGUGCUUGCCUGUGCAUCUGGGACACAAAC
Molecule: unclassified non-coding RNA, 3462 nt
Filed under: Leishmania donovani
Lineage: Eukaryota; Euglenozoa; Kinetoplastea; Trypanosomatida; Trypanosomatidae
Description: gene:LdHU3.08.0530(CDS-product:hypothetical_prote in_conserved)
Source: RNAcentral